Ahaetulla prasina is the source of this 2350-nucleotide long non-coding RNA. RefSeq lists it as uncharacterized. The record is from RefSeq and is a predicted model, not a curated record. Lineage: Eukaryota; Metazoa; Chordata; Lepidosauria; Squamata; Colubridae. The transcript has 6 exons.
UUUUGGUGGGGGGACGGCAGCAGGAAAUCUCCUCACCCACCCCGUAUUUUCUCUAAGAAAAAUUCCCCGUAGGCCAUAGAAGCCCUCAGGGAACUAAAAGUGACAGGUUUUGCAGGUUUUCAAUUUUAGUAUUUAGUCUUUAAAUCCAAAUCGGGUGGGAUGCCUGUAAGACUCUGGUUGCCAACACCCGUCUUCAGGGCAGGAAGAACAGUCUCGACUUCCUGCAAUAACAUCUAUAAAACAACAAUGGAGAUGCAUUGAGAAAUAUAAUAGUUAGUUGUAGUCAGCAUACAAGACAUUAACCCUUGGAACAUUGCAUCCAGCUUUAGUGUUUUUAAUCACUGUCAGAAAAAGUGCCUGAGGGUGUCACUGGAGCAGCCAUUUUUUUUUACAACAUCAGCCAGUCAGGAUGUGGAGGAGGCACCAAUCUCUGCUGCAAGCAACCUCCCAUUAACACCAUGAUAACCAGCACGGAUGAGUCAAGAAGGUUGUUGGACAUCCUUCCUUGCUCAACAAUGUGAUGGUUGGUAAGUGUUUGAACUAAUUUGGAUGCCAGUUUUUCUUUAUUUUUCCAUUACAAAGAUAUAUUAUUAUUAUUAUUGUUAUUUAAUUUUUGGUGGAGUCUAUAUAGAAAAACCCAGGCGGCCACAUUCAGGGGACAACUUGUAGGCUACAAGAAGUGAGUGGACCAAGGACUUGUCCAAAAGAAGACUAGUCCUAAUUGAAAGGAGAGAAAUUGGGUUCUCCUGAGGUUACCUGGUAUCUUUUCUUGGUUUGCAUUUCUUGCUUUGGGUUUUUGGGUGGAGAUGGUUGGCCUUGGAAGCUAAAAGGAAAGAAAACUGAGAGCUUGUUAAUGUUAAUUUUAAUUCAGUUUUAUUACUUUUUGUUUCCUGCUAAUUUAUUCAAUAAUUGUCCUAAAGAAUCAUUCUGAUUAGAGGAACUGGAGGGCAAAUACAUUUAGAAUAUUAUGUGCUGUUCUCAAUAUUAAGUUUUCUCUCUGAAAACCUAUAUUCUGCUUUUUCCAAAUAAAAUGUUAAUGUUGUUACUUUAUCUUCUAGCUGCCAAUCAUCACAAUUUGGUGAUGACUGGCAAUUUCCUAAAAAGAAUGAAACUCCAUGAAAAAUCUCCCCAAAAAAGAGAGAGAAAGAAAGCAUUCAUUUUUAUCUGUGUUUGUCCUCAGUUGCCGUUAUAGUUUUUUGUUCUCUGCUUUAUUUUUGAAAUAUAUAUUUUACUUUGGUAUCCCAGUUAGGGCAUCAGGCUAGAAAGCGGGAGACCUGGAAUUCUCAUCCUAUUUCAGGCACAAAGCCCAAAUUCUUUGAUACUUCCUUACUACCCACCAGGAAAAUGAUAGAGGAAAUAAAUCUGUCAAGACAAGCCUUAGAUACCUAUGUGUCUGGCAACAGUGGGCUAAACAAUGAUGAAAAUGAAGUAGUUGGUGGGGCAAAAAUCACUUACAAAAGCUAAACUUUACAGUGUGUUUAAUGGCAUAUUUUAUUAAUCCUUAUGAUUUCAAUUGCUUUUCAACUCUUACACAACUGCCAAAUUCCCAGGCAUCCAAAGAAUCUUAUGGUACAUGUGGUCCAAUCAGGAAAAUGCUAGGCAUAAAUUACAUUUCAUGAAAUUUCCUGCACAGAAAUGUUUUAGAUGAGCAGAUAGACGAGCUCAGAAAAGAGAAUCAAGAUCUGAGUUGCAGGGUUCAAAAACAAGAUGGGGAGCAAGCAGAAGUUCUGAGAGAAAAAAACAAUAUUAAAGAAGAACUUAAAAGAGAAGACAACAGAAAUGUCAAGACUGUUAUAAAAAGACAAGCUCCAAGUGAAGUACAAGGAAUUUAUGCAGAAAAAUGCCCACCUAAUUGCAGAAAAGGAAGACCCCUGGAAAGAUUUUAAAGAAGAACUAAGCAGGCUGCUGCAUGCGAUACAUGAAACUGGUUGUGGUGACUUCCAAACAAAUCGAAGAAGUUUUCAAAGUUCCCUCACUAGAAGCGGUGAUUUUUUUCUCCAGAAGCUCUGUCGCUGAUCAGGGUUAGUUCUCCCGGUCGAUCCUGGAAAUCACUUGUUUUCUGGAUUUCUUUUCAAGUCUCCGGGAUCUGCAAGCUGAUUGCGAAGCCUUGGUGGUUCAGGCUGCAGGUGACUCAAUGGAAGAAAUCUUUUGGCAGUGUGGCCAUCAGAUCAAGCCGGGUCUUAUUAGGAGUCAACUCCUCUCCAAAGUCAUCAGGAGGAUCUCCGAGACCAAGCAAUAGUAGUUUAAUUGUUUACUUGAUUGUCAUGGCACCUCAUAGAAUGAAAUUAAGUGCCAUCUUCACUGUAUAUUAUACUUUAAAAAAAACCUUUAAAAAUAAAACAAAAACACC